Molecule: ribosomal RNA, 253 nt
Filed under: uncultured bacterium
Lineage: Bacteria
Description: partial 16S ribosomal RNA
Rfam family: Bacterial small subunit ribosomal RNA
Source: RNAcentral
UACGUAGGGGGCAAGCGUUGUCCGGAUUUACUGGGCGUAAAGGAUGCGUAGGCGGACAUUUAAGUCAGAUGUGAAAUACCCGAGCUUAACCUGGGAACUGCAUUUGUGACUGCAUAGCUAGAGUACGGUAGAGGGGGAUGGAAUUCCACGUGUAGCAGUGAAAUGCGUAGAGAUGUGGAGGAAUACCGAUGGCGAAGGCAGCCUCCUGGGCCAACACUGACGCUCAUGCACGAAAGCGUGGGGAGCAAACAGG